RNAcentral lists this ribosomal RNA (428 nucleotides) under uncultured soil bacterium. Its description in RNAcentral is "bacterial SSU rRNA". It matches the Rfam family "Bacterial small subunit ribosomal RNA", at positions 26 to 506 of the family's 1533-position model. The record is from RNAcentral.
AGAGCGAACGCUGGCGGCAGGCCUAACACAUGCAAGUCGAACGGACUCUUCGGAGUUAGUGGCGGACGGGUGAGUAACACGUGGGAACGUGCCUUUAGGUUCGGAAUAGCUCCUGGAAACGGGUGGUAAUGCCGAAUGUGCCCUUCGGGGGGAAAGAUUUAUCGCCUUUAGAGCGGCCCGCGUCUGAUUAGCUAGUUGGUGAGGUAAAGGCUCACCAAGGCUACGAUCAGUAGCUGGUCUGAGAGGAUGACCAGCCACAUUGGGACUGAGACACGGCCCAAACUCCUACGGGAGCAGCAGUGGGAAUCUUGCGCAAUGGGCGAAAGCCUGACGCAGCCAUGCCGCGUGAAUGAUGAAGGUCUUAGGAUUGUAAAAUUCUUCAGUAGGACGAUAAUGACGUACUACAGAAGAAGCCCGGCUAACUUCGU